CUCCUCUCAGGAUGGCACCUGGAGAGUUUCCGGUACUCUACCAGUCUCGACUACGGGAGGGAGAGCCGAGCAGAGGCCUGUCCGUUCCAUUCCUAGCUUGGGUAGUGGCUAGCGAGUAGAAGGCAAUCUGCUAGAACU
This 138-nucleotide small nucleolar RNA is filed under the name Ornithorhynchus anatinus (platypus). The record is from RNAcentral. Lineage: Eukaryota; Metazoa; Chordata; Mammalia; Monotremata; Ornithorhynchidae.